RNAcentral lists this ribosomal RNA (465 nucleotides) under uncultured bacterium. Its description in RNAcentral is "partial 16S ribosomal RNA". It matches the Rfam family "Bacterial small subunit ribosomal RNA", at positions 28 to 507 of the family's 1533-position model. The record is from RNAcentral.
GACGAACGCUGGCGGCGUGCUUAACACAUGCAAGUCGAACGGAAAGGCCCCUUUGGGGGUACUCGAGUGGCGAACGGGUGAGUAACACGUGAGUAACCUGCCCUUGACUUCGGGAUAACUUCAGGAAACUGGGGCUAAUACCGGAUAGGAAUCCUUGCUGCAUGGUGGGGGUUGGAAAGCUUCGGCGGUUUUGGAUGGACUCGCGGCUUAUCAGCUUGUUGGUGGGGUAGUGGCUUACCAAGGCUUUGACGGGUAGCCGGCCUGAGAGGGCGACCGGCCACAUUGGGACUGAGAUACGGCCCAGACUCCUACGGGAGGCAGCAGUGGGGAAUAUUGCACAAUGGGCGGAAGACUGAUGCAGCAACGCCGCGUGCGGGAUGACGGCCUUCGGGUUGUAAACCGCUUUCAGCAGGGGCGAAGCUUGUGGUGACGGUACCUGCAGAAGAAGCACCGGCUAACUACGUG